Molecule: ribosomal RNA, 352 nt
Filed under: uncultured bacterium
Lineage: Bacteria
Description: bacterial SSU rRNA
Rfam family: Bacterial small subunit ribosomal RNA
Source: RNAcentral
GAAUGAACGCUGGUGGCAGACCUAACACAUGCAAGUCGAACGGUCUAUAUUAAACUUACGGUUUUUAUUAGAUAGUGGCAAACGGGUGAGUAAAGCGAUGGGAAUCUACCUAGAAGUUUGGAAUAGCGUAUUAGAAAUGAUUAGAUAACUACCAAAUACACCUCGAGAGGGAAAGUUGACUUACGGUCUUACGUCUUUUAGAUUGAGCCCGAUGUUAAAUUAGUUAGUUGGUAGGGUAAUGGCCUACCAAGAUGAUGAUUUAUAGCUGGUCUUAGAGGAUUGAUCAGCCACACUGGAAUUGAGAUACGGUCCAGACUCCUACGGGAGCAGCGAGUGGGGAAUAUUGGACGAA